Molecule: ribosomal RNA, 490 nt
Filed under: uncultured bacterium
Lineage: Bacteria
Description: partial 16S ribosomal RNA
Rfam family: Bacterial small subunit ribosomal RNA
Source: RNAcentral
AGUGAACGCUGGCGGCAGGCCUAACACAUGCAAGUCGAACGGCAGCACAAGAGAGCUUGCUCUCUGGGUGGCGAGUGGCGGACGGGUGAGGAAUGCAUCGGAAUCUGCCCAUUUGUGGGGGAUAACCUCGGGAAACCGGGACUAAUACCGCAUACGACCUACGGGUGAAAGCAGGGGAUCUUCGGACCUUGCGCAGAUGGAUGAGCCGAUGCCGGAUUAGCUAGUUGGAGGGGUAAAGGCCCACCAAGGCGACGAUCCGUAGCUGGUCUGAGAGGAUGAUCAGCCACACUGGGACUGAGACACGGCCCAGACUCCUACGGGAGGCAGCAGUGGGGAAUAUUGGACAAUGGGCGCAAGCCUGAUCCAGCCAUGCCGCGUGUGUGAAGAAGGCCUUCGGGUUGUAGAGCACUUUUGUUGGGAAAGAAAAGCAGCCGGUUAAUACCCGGUUGUCAUGACGGUACCCAAAGAAUAAGCACCGGCUAACUUCGUG